AUAGGGGAGCCGUAGGGAAACCGAGUCUUAACCGGGCGUUAAGUUGCAGGGUAUAGACCCGAAACCCGGUGAUCUAGCCAUGGGCAGGUUGAAGGUUGGGUAACACUAACUGGAGGACCGAACCGACUAAUGUUGAAAAAUUAGCGGAUGACCUGUGGCUGGGGGUGAAAGGCCAAUCAAACCGGGAGAUAGCUGGUUCUCCCCGAAAGCUAUUUAGGUAGCGCCUCGUGAAUUCAUCUCCGGGGGUAGAGCACUGUUUCGGCUAGGGGGCCAUCCCGGCUUACCAACCCGAUGCAAACUGCGAAUACCGGAGAAUGUUAUCACGGGAGACACACGGCGGGUGCUAACGUCCGUCGUGAAGAGGGAAACAACCCAGACCGCCAGCUAAGGUCCCAAAGUCAUGGUUAAGUGGGAAACGAUGUGGGAAGGCCCAGACAGCCAGGAUGUUGGCUUAGAAGCAGCCAUCAUUUAAAGAAAGCGUAAUAGCUCACUGGUCGAGUCGGCCUGCGCGGAAGAUGUAACGGGGCUAAACCAUGCACCGAAGCUGCGGCAGCGACGCUGAUGCGUUGUUGGGUAGGGGAGCGUUCUGUAAGCCUGUGAAGGUGGCCUGUGAGGGUUGCUGGAGGUAUCAGAAGUGCGAAUGCUGACAUAAGUAACGAUAAAGCGGGUGAAAAGCCCGCUCGCCGGAAGACCAAGGGUUCCUGUCCAACGUUAAUCGGGGCAGGGUGAGUCGACCCCUAAGGCGAGGCCGAAAGGCGUAGUCGAUGGGAAACGGGUUAAUAUUCCCGUACUUGGUGUUACUGCGAAGGGGGGACGGAGAAGGCUAUGUUGGCCGGGCGACGGUUGUCCCGGUUUAAGCGUGUAGGUGUGUGUUCCAGGUAAAUCCGGUUCACUUUAACACUGAGGCGUGAUGACGAGGCACUACGGUGCUGAAGCAACAAAUGCCCUGCUUCCAGGAAAAGCCUCUAAGCAUCAGGUAACAUCAAAUCGUACCCCAAACCGACACAGGUGGUCAGGUAGAGAAUACCAAGGCGCUUGAGAGAACUCGGGUGAAGGAACUAGGCAAAAUGGUGCCGUAACUUCGGGAGAAGGCACGCUGACACGUAGGUGAAGUGAUUUACUCAUGGAGCUGAAGUCAGUCGAAGAUACCAGCUGGCUGCAACUGUUUAUUAAAAACACAGCACUGUGCAAACACGAAAGUGGACGUAUACGGUGUGACGCCUGCCCGGUGCCGGAAGGUUAAUUGAUGGGGUCAGCGCAAGCGAAGCUCCUGAUCGAAGCCCCGGUAAACGGCGGCCGUAACUAUAACGGUCCUAAGGUAGCGAAAUUCCUUGUCGGGUAAGUUCCGACCUGCACGAAUGGCGUAAUGAUGGCCAGGCUGUCUCCACCCGAGACUCAGUGAAAUUGAACUCGCUGUGAAGAUGCAGUGUACCCGCGGCAAGACGGAAAGACCCCGUGAACCUUUACUAUAGCUUGACACUGAACAUUGAGCCUUGAUGUGUAGGAUAGGUGGGAGGCUUUGAAGCGUGGACGCCAGUCUGCAUGGAGCCGGCCUUGAAAUACCACCCUUUAAUGUUUGAUGUUCUAACGUGGACCCGUGAUCCGGGUUGCGGACAGUGUCUGGUGGGUAGUUUGACUGGGGCGGUCUCCUCCUAAAGAGUAACGGAGGAGCACGAAGGUUGGCUAAUCCUGGUCGGACAUCAGGAGGUUAGUGCAAUGGCAUAAGCCAGCUUGACUGCGAGCGUGACGGCGCGAGCAGGUGCGAAAGCAGGUCAUAGUGAUCCGGUGGUUCUGAAUGGAAGGGCCAUCGCUCAACGGAUAAAAGGUACUCCGGGGAUAACAGGCUGAUACCGCCCAAGAGUUCAUAUCGACGGCGGUGUUUGGCACCUCGAUGUCGGCUCAUCACAUCCUGGGGCUGAAGUAGGUCCCAAGGGUAUGGCUGUUCGCCAUUUAAAGUGGUACGCGAGCUGGGUUUAGAACGUCGUGAGACAGUUCGGUCCCUAUCUGCCGUGGGCGCUGGAGAACUGAGGGGGGCUGCUCCUAGUACGAGAGGACCGGAGUGGACGCAUCACUGGUGUUCGGGUUGUCAUGCCAAUGGCACUGCCCGGUAGCUAAAUGCGGAAGAGAUAAGUGCUGAAAGCAUCUAAGCACGAAACUUGCCCCGAGAUGAGUUCUCCCUGAGACUUAGAGUCUCCUGAAGGAACGUUGAAGACGACGACGUUGAUAGGCCGGGUGUGUAAGCGCAGCGAUGCGUUGAGCUAACCGGUACUAAUGAACCGUGAGGCUUAACCUUACAACGCCGAAGAUGUUUUGGCGGAUGAGAGAC
Molecule: ribosomal RNA, 2326 nt
Filed under: Salmonella enterica
Lineage: Bacteria; Pseudomonadati; Pseudomonadota; Gammaproteobacteria; Enterobacterales; Enterobacteriaceae
Description: bacterial LSU rRNA
Rfam family: Bacterial large subunit ribosomal RNA
Source: RNAcentral